This 344-nucleotide ribosomal RNA is filed under the name uncultured bacterium. Its description in RNAcentral is "bacterial SSU rRNA". It matches the Rfam family "Bacterial small subunit ribosomal RNA", at positions 30 to 367 of the family's 1533-position model. The record is from RNAcentral.
AUUGAACGCUGGCGGCAGGCCUAACACAUGCAAGUCGAACGGUAACAGGAAACAGCUUGCUGUUUCGCUGACGAGUGGCGGACGGGUGAGUAAUGUCUGGGAAACUGCCUGAUGGAGGGGGAUAACUACUGGAAACGGUAGCUAAUACCGCAUAACGUCGCAAGACCAAAGAGGGGGACCCUCGGGCCUCUUGCCAUCGGAUGUGCCCAGAUGGGAUUAGCUUGUUGGUGGGGUAACGGGCUCACCAAGGCGACGAUCCCUAGCUGGUCUGAGAGGAUGACCAGCCACACUGGAACUGAGACACGGUCCAGACUCCUACGGGAGGCAGCAGUGGGGAAGUAUUG